Molecule: ribosomal RNA, 468 nt
Filed under: uncultured bacterium
Lineage: Bacteria
Description: partial 16S ribosomal RNA
Rfam family: Bacterial small subunit ribosomal RNA
Source: RNAcentral
GACGAACGCUGGCGGCGUGCUUAACACAUGCAAGUCGAACGGAAAGGCCCUGCUUUGGUGGGGUGCUCGAGUGGCGAACGGGUGAGUAACACGUGAGUAACCUGCCCUUGACUUUGGGAUAACUUAAGGAAACUGGGGGUAAUACCGGAUAGGAGCUCCUGCUGCAUGGUGGGGGUUGGAAGGUUUCGGCGGUUGGGGAUGGACUCGCGGCUUAUCAGCUUGUUGGUGGGGUAGUGGCUUACCAAGGCUUGGACGGGUAGCCGGCCUGCUAGGGUGACCGGCCACAUUGGGAUUGAGAUACGGCCCAGACUCCUACGGGAGGCAGCAGUGGGGAAUAGUGUACAGUGGGCGGAAGCCUGAUGCAGCAACGCCGCGUGCGGGAUGACGGCCUUCGGGUUGUAAACCGCUUUCGCCUGUGACGAAGCGUGAGUGACGGUAAUGGGUAAAUAAGCACCGGCUAACUACGUG